CAGAAAAUAAUUUAAAUAUAAAAUAUAAACUUUGGAAGUUUAAAAUGAUCAUNNCAUCUUUUCUGA
RNAcentral lists this transfer RNA (66 nucleotides) under Kikihia paxillulae. RNAcentral describes it as "tRNA-Pro". Lineage: Eukaryota; Metazoa; Arthropoda; Insecta; Hemiptera; Cicadidae. The record is from RNAcentral.